RNAcentral lists this ribosomal RNA (1495 nucleotides) under uncultured Flavobacteriaceae bacterium. RNAcentral describes it as "bacterial SSU rRNA". It matches the Rfam family "Bacterial small subunit ribosomal RNA". The record is from RNAcentral. Lineage: Bacteria; Pseudomonadati; Bacteroidota; Flavobacteriia; Flavobacteriales; Flavobacteriaceae.
AGGGUUCGAUCCUGGCUCAGGAUGAACGCUAGCGGCAGGCUUAACACAUGCAAGUCGAGGGGUAACAGGGUCCGCCUUCGGGCAGACCGCUGACGACCGGCGCACGGGUGCGUAACGCGUAUGCAACCUACCUUUUACAGGGGGAUAGUCAAGAGAAAUUUUGAAUAAUACCCCAUACGAUCAUUGAGGCUCAUGUUUCAGUGAGGAAAACUACGGUGGUAAGAGAUGGGCAUGCGUCCUAUUAGCUAGAUGGAGAGGUAACGGCUCCCCAUGGCGACGAUAGGUAGGGGUCCUGAGAGGGAGAUCCCCCACACUGGUACUGAGACACGGACCAGACUCCUACGGGAGGCAGCAGUGAGGAAUAUUGGACAAUGGAGGCAACUCUGAUCCAGCCAUGCCGCGUGCAGGAAGACUGCCCUAUGGGUUGUAAACUGCUUUUAUACAGGAAGAAACACUCCCUCGUGAGGGAGCUUGACGGUACUGUACGAAUAAGGAUCGGCUAACUCCGUGCCAGCAGCCGCGGUAACACGGAGGAUCCAAGCGUUAUCCGGAAUUAUUGGGUUUAAAGGGUCCGUAGGUGGUUUGCUAAGUCAGAGGUGAAAUCCUGCCGCUUAACGGUAGCACUGCCUUUGAUACUGGCAAACUUGAGUCAUUGUGAAGUAGUUAGAAUGUGUAGUGUAGCGGUGAAAUGCAUAGAUAUUACACAGAAUACCGAUUGCGAAGGCAGAUUACUAACAAUGUACUGACACUGAGGGACGAAAGCGUGGGUAGCGAACAGGAUUAGAUACCCUGGUAGUCCACGCCGUAAACGAUGGUCACUAGCUGUUUGAUGCACAUUGGUGCGUUGAGUGGCUAAGCGAAAGUGAUAAGUGACCCACCUGGGGAGUACGCUCGCAAGAGUGAAACUCAAAGGAAUUGACGGGGGCCCGCACAAGCGGUGGAGCAUGUGGUUUAAUUCGAUGAUACGCGAGGAACCUUACCAGGGCUUAAAUGUAAGUUGCAUGGACCAGAGAUGGACCUUUCUUCGGACUACUUACAAGGUGCUGCAUGGUUGUCGUCAGCUCGUGCCGUGAGGUGUCAGGUUAAGUCCUAUAACGAGCGCAACCCCUAUCGUUAGUUGCCAGCGGGUCAAGCCGGGUACUCUAGCGAGACUGCCGGUGCAAACCGAGAGGAAGGUGGGGAUGACGUCAAAUCAUCACGGCCCUUACGUCCUGGGCUACACACGUGCUACAAUGGCCGGUACAGAGAGCAGCCACUCCGCGAGGAGGCGCGAAUCUUCAAAGCCGGUCUCAGUUCGGAUCGCAGUCUGCAACUCGACUGCGUGAAGCUGGAAUCGCUAGUAAUCGCAUAUCAGCCAUGAUGCGGUGAAUACGUUCCCGGGCCUUGUACACACCGCCCGUCAAGCCAUGGAAGCUGGGGGUACCUGAAGUCGGUGACCGAAAGGAGCUGCCUAGGGUAAAACUAGUAACUGGGGCUAAGUCGUAACAAGGUAGCC